UACGUAGGGGGCGAGCGUUAUCCAGAUUUACUGGGCGUAAAGGGCGCGUAGGCGGACAGUUUAGUCAGAGGUGAAAGCCCAGGGCUCAACCUUGGAAUUGCCUUUGAUACUGGCUGUCUUGAGUACGGGAGAGGUGAGUGGAACUCCGAGUGUAGAGGUGAAAUUCGUAGAUAUUCGGAAGAACACCAGUGGCGAAGGCGACUCACUGGCCCGUUACUGACGCUGAGGCGCGAAAGCGUGGGGAGCAAACAGG
RNAcentral lists this ribosomal RNA (253 nucleotides) under uncultured bacterium. RNAcentral's name for it is "partial 16S ribosomal RNA". It matches the Rfam family "Bacterial small subunit ribosomal RNA", at positions 524 to 776 of the family's 1533-position model. The record is from RNAcentral.